Molecule: ribosomal RNA, 728 nt
Filed under: uncultured Providencia sp.
Lineage: Bacteria; Pseudomonadati; Pseudomonadota; Gammaproteobacteria; Enterobacterales; Morganellaceae
Description: bacterial SSU rRNA
Rfam family: Bacterial small subunit ribosomal RNA
Source: RNAcentral
CAGGAUUAGAUACCUGGUAGUCCACGCUGUAAACGAUGUCGAUUUGGAGGUUGUUCCCUUGAGGAGUGGCUUCCGGAGCUAACGCGUUAAAUCGACCGCUGGGGAGUACGGCCGCAAGGUUAAAACUCAAAUGAAUUGACGGGGGCCCGCACAAGCGGUGGAGCAUGUGGUUUAAUUCGAUGCAACGCGAAGAACCUUACCUACUCUUGACAUCCAGAGAAUUUAGCAGAGAUGCUUUAGUGCCUUCGGGAACUCUGAGACAGGUGCUGCAUGGCUGUCGUCAGCUCGUGUUGUGAAAUGUUGGGUUAAGUCCCGCAACGAGCGCAACCCUUAUCCUUUGUUGCCAGCACAUUAUGGUGGGAACUCAAAGGAGACUGCCGGUGAUAAACCGGAGGAAGGUGGGGAUGACGUCAAGUCAUCAUGGCCCUUACGAGUAGGGCUACACACGUGCUACAAUGGCGUAUACAAAGAGAAGCGACCUCGCGAGAGCAAGCGGAACUCAUAAAGUACGUCGUAGUCCGGAUUGGAGUCUGCAACUCGACUCCAUGAAGUCGGAAUCGCUAGUAAUCGUAGAUCAGAAUGCUACGGUGAAUACGUUCCCGGGCCUUGUACACACCGCCCGUCACACCAUGGGAGUGGGUUGCAAAAGAAGUAGGUAGCUUAACCUUCGGGAGGGCGCUUACCACUUUGUGAUUCAUGACUGGGGUGAAGUCGUAACAAGGUAACCA